This 249-nucleotide ribosomal RNA is filed under the name Russula sp. Its description in RNAcentral is "partial 28S ribosomal RNA". It matches the Rfam family "Eukaryotic large subunit ribosomal RNA", at positions 104 to 344 of the family's 3401-position model. The record is from RNAcentral. Lineage: Eukaryota; Fungi; Basidiomycota; Agaricomycetes; Russulales; Russulaceae.
AAAGCUCAAAUUUAAAAUCUGGUGGCCUUCAGCCGUCCGAGUUGUAAUUUAGAGAAGCGUCUUCCGCGCCGGACCGUGCACAAGUCUCCUGGAAUGGAGCGUCAUAGAGGGUGAGAAUCCCGUCUUUGGCACGGACUUCCCGGUGCUUCUGUGAUGCGCUCUCGACGAGUCGAGUUGUUUGGGAAUGCAGCUCAAAAUGGGUGGUGAACUCCAUCUAAAGCUAAAUACUGGCGAGAGACCGAUAGCGAA